CCCUAUGUGAACCUACUGCCGUUGCCUCGGCGGGCCGCGCUUACCCGGUAGCUACCCUGUAGCUACCCGGUAGCGCGUUACGGGCCUGCCGGUGGACUUCUCAACUCUGUUAUAUAUAUACGUAUCUCUGAAUGCUUCUAACUAAAUAAGUUAAAACUUUCAACAACGGAUCUCUUGGUUCUGGCAUCGAUGAAGAACGCAGCGAAAUGCGAUAAGUAAUGUGAAUUGCAGAAUUCAGUGAAUCAUCGAAUCUUUGAACGCACAUUGCGCCCAUUAGUAUUCUAGUGGGCAUGCCUGUUCGAGCGUCAUUUCAACCCUUAAGCCCUGUUGCUUAGUGUUGGGAUUCUAGGCCCCCAGGGCCCUAGUUCCUCAAAGUGAUCGGCGGAGUCGGCGUAUACUCUGAGCGUAGUAGUGUUCUUCUCGCUUUUGUAGUAGCCCCGGCGGCUUGCCGUAAAACCCCUAUAUCUUAGUGGUUGACCUCGAAUCAGGUAGGAAUACCCGCUGAACUUAAGCAUAUCAUAGCCCGAAGGAAG
RNAcentral lists this ribosomal RNA (533 nucleotides) under Daldinia sp. HS-EF34. Its description in RNAcentral is "eukaryotic LSU rRNA". The stretch from base 155 to 308 matches the Rfam family "5.8S ribosomal RNA". Lineage: Eukaryota; Fungi; Ascomycota; Sordariomycetes; Xylariales; Hypoxylaceae. The record is from RNAcentral.